This 22-nucleotide small nuclear RNA is filed under the name Arabidopsis thaliana (thale cress). RNAcentral's name for it is "snRNA_14924". Lineage: Eukaryota; Viridiplantae; Streptophyta; Magnoliopsida; Brassicales; Brassicaceae. The record is from RNAcentral.
UUGUUUCUGGAAUUGAAUCUCU